ACAGUGGCUGGCGAUGAGGAAGUCUCUAGCAGAGACCCAGUCCCGCUGCCUAGAAGAAUCAUGGCUCUCUCCAGACUGUUCCUGUCCAUACAGCCAGCUGGGUUCUCAGUUCAUCACGUAGACAGGAAGAAAGAACUCUCUGGGGAAAAAGAAAAGUGGAGAUAAAAUCAAUCACUACAAGUGAGUCAGGCCUCUGGUUGGGUGAAGUUGGAAAAGCUGGAGGAAUCUACCAAGCCAGGUCCACGGAGAGGUCUACAACCACAAGGCCAAACAGCAGACAACAAGCCAACAAGACACAGAAGACCGAAGUGACGAGCUGUUUAGAUGCUGUUAGUAGGUAGAAUUGUUUACAUUAUGAUUGGUGAAAUCUAGACACUUUAAAACCAGAUUUUUGUGGUAGACAUUUAGAAAGAUUUGUAUUAGUAGUUUUGAUGCAUUGGGGUUAUAAAUUGAGAUGCAGUUUUAGUAUUAUCUCUGAGCAACUGUUGAAUAUUUUUCUGUGAAAUAUUUACUGUUCAAUAAAUUAACGUAAUGAA
This is a long non-coding RNA of Salvelinus fontinalis (brook trout), 536 nucleotides long. RefSeq lists it as uncharacterized. The transcript is spliced from 3 exons. NCBI's taxonomy places the organism in Eukaryota, Metazoa, Chordata, Actinopteri, Salmoniformes, Salmonidae. The record is from RefSeq and is a predicted model, not a curated record.